Molecule: long non-coding RNA, 476 nt
Filed under: Felis catus (domestic cat)
Lineage: Eukaryota; Metazoa; Chordata; Mammalia; Carnivora; Felidae
Description: lncRNA (ENSFCAG00000042013.2)
Source: RNAcentral
AAGUGAUUGUCUGUGUCAGGGAGAUUUGGUCCUCUCUGCCUCUCUCAGUCCAUGUGCAGAGCAGAUCAAAGACCUGAAUUACCUCUGCCUUUCCAAAGACAGCCAGAUGGUGUCUUGAUUUUUUUUUUCUUUUUUCAGAUUUGUUAGCAAUAGAAUUCAAAGGACGAAAGAAUCUGUGUGAUGCUACAGAUGAAAGCUCUACCCAGAGCCAUAUAUUCAAGGGCAAAGAUUAUGUUUUAUAAUGAGAAGCAGCAUGAUAUGAUGGAAGGAGGUGAAGUUUUGCAGUUAAACAGAUUGUCCCAUCUUAUGGACAGUGAAACUGAGAAUUAAUCAGAUGAAGUAACUUGUCCAGUCAUACUGCUGUUAAGUGAUGGAGUCUGGAUGAGAAUCCAGGUUAGUGUAAUUCAAAAGAGAAUUACUAUGAGAGUACUAUGAAGUACUCUCCCUUCCUUCAUAUUCCCGAAUGACAAAGGAUC